Molecule: long non-coding RNA, 3220 nt
Organism: Xenopus laevis (African clawed frog)
Lineage: Eukaryota; Metazoa; Chordata; Amphibia; Anura; Pipidae
Exons: 2
Source: RefSeq, a predicted model, not a curated record
UUAGGAGGAGGGAGGAACACGCAGCUGCUUGGUGUGUGAAGCAGAAUCACAUUGUGCAUGCUGUAAGUCUCUCUACCCACAAAUCGCCACAAAUCAGAAGCAGCCCAUUUCACAGGUAAAUGGAGCGGCCCUUCAGGAAAUUGCCCGAACUGACAGAUUGUCAGUCCGGGCCUGCCCUUGGGACCCUGCUUGGACUUUGAUUCACUGCUGCCAACUUUGCUUGCCAGUUUGACUACUCUCUUGCACAAUCCUUGGUACCCUGCUUGGACUUUUAUUACUGCUGCCGACUCUGAUUCCCUAUCUGACCACGCUCCGGAUUAACCCUUGGUACCCUGUGAUCUAUUGUUGCCAACUCGGACGCCUGCUUGACCCUUCUGUGCUGUGCUGCUAUACAUGGCUAACCUUUACUGCCGUCGCUGACCUUCACAUCUGCCAGUCCUUGCUCCAAGAUUUGCUAGCGGUUAUGAAUCUAACCUGACGCUAAGCCACGAAACCCGAUACCUGAAGCAUUCCAUGGAUUGGUGUGUACUUUUAAAGACUUUUCAGGCUCCCAUACCUAGCCUUCACUAGUCUCCCUCUAUACCUAUUUGAGGGUGUACUUGUGGGGGGCUGUAAGGGUUGUCCUUCUCAACGCCAGUGGUUUCCAAGUUUGGUAAGUCUGACAGGUUUGUUUUAAAAACAUGAACAAGUGUCCCUUAAAUAUACAACAGUCUGCACCUCCCAAUUUUAGUGUUAACGUAUAUCAGUUAAAUCAAUGAACUGGGCCUGGAACCUGCAAAAAAGUAUCAGUCUCAACUAACCAUGAUUAUCAGUCUAUUCCUGCUAAAUGUAUAAACUCUGAAACACAGUCAUUGAAGUUCCAGUUAGCUACUGGUCCAAGUGAUUUGUGCCAUAACAUUGAGAAGGUGCAUUAUAUGAGUGGUAGAGCCAUGUUCACUUACCAUUUGAACUCAAGAGUUAUAGGGACAUUGCCAUUCAUUGAGCCCCCAGAAACAAUAUGCAUUAUAUGCAACCGAGUGGCAGAAACAUGUACACUUAUCCUUUGCUUCAACUCCAGCAAGACCAGCAAAGAAGCGUUUAAGUCUCAACUAAUUAGUUGAUAUAGAUAUACCUGAAUCCUUUUCCUACAGGCUGAGUGGCUGCUAAAUUAAAUAAUCUACACAAUAUAUGUCAAACAGUUAAAUGUUGUUAAAUGCACUUCAAUAUUUAUUACACUGUAGGACUCACAUUAAAUAAGGGACCUUGACACAGCACAAGAGCAAUCAUACUUUGUCCAAAAAGUAGCAUUAAACGUUUGCAAUAUUUUUUAUCUUUUGCGUUUGAAAUUAUUGGUUGUAUAUCGUUUGUAGCAGCUGGUCAAAUUCAGAAAGUAUAUCAGGCCGAGCGCUAAAAAAUUAGCAGCUGUUCAACUAUACAUUGAAAAUGUGAGCAGACGCCUGCAGCCUGCCAUACCCACCACAUAGUACCACAUUUUAUUAGUGGUUUACGGCCGAACAACCCAGCAAAACUCGACCAGUUUUCACCAAUCCCAUAAAGCAACUAUGUGCCGCGUCAAUGCAUUUAUAUACGCAUCCGCAACCCGCAGAUUUAUUCUAACAUCCAUACAGUUGCUUUACAAGAGGACAUCUCCCAAUCUGUUGAUAAUUGUGAGCACGUUUCAACCGAUAAUAAAUCUUGGUGCAACAGUGAUGCAGAGCCUGCAACCCAAAGUGAGGAUGAGUGCAAUGAAGAUGAAGAGGAAAAUCACAAACUCUGGAACUCUUUUAUUAAAUCUGAUGAUCCCUACAACCCUCUAUGCUUUAAAGCUUCUGUUUAUACAUCUGAGAGAAAUAAUAGAGAUUCCUCCUGCAAAUAUGCUGAGCUGGUGUGUGGAAGACACUGUUAUUGCAAAUUAAGUUUACGUCCUAAUGUUGAAAAUAUUCCUUGGUUUAGAGACUCUUGUUCAGCAUCGGUUAAAGGUGCCAAUCUUGAAAGGAAAAAGGUAUAAUGUUCUUUAAUUUUACCAUAACAUGGGGAACUCUACCCAUUCUGUAUAGAUAAUUACUUGUUAAACAUAAUUUUUUCCAUGUUGUCAGAAAGUCCCAUAUCUGCAUAUAUUCCUUCAGAGAAAACAAUUGAACUACAAUGAGCUGUUCAACCCCUUUGGGGACACAGUUCAAUUCAUAUGUCCAAAAAGCCUCCCUUUGUAGUAAAGCUUGAUCAAUGUUGCCUCCCCUUGGCAAAUCUGCAAUGCAAUCAAUUGGCAUACGCUUAAAUGCAGAAGCGGGAUGUUUAGCCAUCAACCAAUGUUGAGCCACUGGUUGUUUGGAAAUAUCUUGUUUAGUUUCUUUCUUUGGUUUUGGAUCCAGUGCAGCCUUGAUGGUUGCACAGUGCAUGCUAAUACGCUCCCUAAGUUGCCUGCAUGUUUUCCCGCAAUACAGAUAACCACACAGGCAUUUAAUUAUAUAUAUCACAUUUUGGGAGGUGCAGGUUAAUCUCUGCAUGCUAUUGUACGCUUUGCCCGUAUGUGGGUGAAAAAAUUUAUCUCCCACCAUUAAGGAGCUGCACAUAGCACAAUUGCCACAUCUGUACACACCCACAUUAUUUAUUUUUGUCCAUAAUUUGUAUUUGCUUACCGGGUCUGCCGGUGAUAAGAGUUCCUUGAGAUUCUUAUGUCUCCUAUGGCCAAAACGGAUCCAUUUACGAUUGAUGCCCGUGAGUUCUGUGUCAGAUUGAACAACAGACCAUUGCUGUAAUACAGAUUUUUUAGUUAAUGGAGUACAUGCAUCAAAUGUGGUCAUAUAGUUAACUACAUAGUCCAUAUUUUUAUUCCCAUUAACUCAAAAUAAGUUCCCGAUCCAGUGAUUCAGCCCUCUGUUUGGUUCUGGCUAUUAAAUCUCGGUUAUAUACAUUUCGUAUAUCUUAAACCUUUCUUGCACAGGAUUUUAAGAACAAAUAGAUUAUUCAUGCACAUAUUUAUUAUCGUAAGGUUAACAUUUAACAUGUUAAUGACACUAGUCACUUUGAACAGAAACAUGAUUAAUAUGCUACCAGCACUAGUCACUUUUUAAAAAACACUUUUUUGCACACAUCAAUCACAAGAUGGUAACUUCCUUUUGAUGGGUAUUUAUGGGGAUUUGGAAUGAGAGCAUGGUUGCCAUGAGGAAGGUCCCUGUGUGGACCGAAACGUCACGGUGGCUAUUCAUGCAAACGUGAAUACACUUUAACUUUGAUACACAUA